UUAAGAAUAAAUAUUAAAACUAUACAUGAACUUUGAUCCACUGUGCAAUCUCAUACAUUAACUUUAAAUUUGUGUGAUUUUAUAUAUGAAAUUUUGUUUUGAUUCAAUUUUCAUAAAUCAUAAAUCAUAAACAGCAUUGUCAAAUUAGCAUCAUUUUACAUGCAUGUAUUGCAUACACAAACAAUUAUAUUAUUCAAUAUAAAAACAAAUGUAUGUAUUUUUUUCUUUAAAUAUGUACAAUAGAAUGCAAAUCAAAGUUUUAUGUAUACAUAUAAUUCUCAAUUUAAAUUUCACGUGUAUAAUUGCACCAAAUCAAAGUUCAUGUAUCAAAUUACACAUUAGACCAAAGUUUAUGUAUAAAUUUGAUAUUUAUCCCAAU
RNAcentral lists this microRNA precursor (379 nucleotides) under Gossypium raimondii (Peruvian cotton). Its description in RNAcentral is "miR8709a stem-loop (gra-MIR8709a)". Lineage: Eukaryota; Viridiplantae; Streptophyta; Magnoliopsida; Malvales; Malvaceae. The record is from miRBase by way of RNAcentral.